Molecule: ribosomal RNA, 119 nt
Filed under: Pteropus alecto (black flying fox)
Lineage: Eukaryota; Metazoa; Chordata; Mammalia; Chiroptera; Pteropodidae
Source: RNAcentral
GUCUACAGCCAUGCCACCCUGAACAAGCCCGAUCCCAUCUGAUCUCGGAAGCUAAGCAGGGUUGGGCCUGGUUAGUACUUGGAUGAGAGACCACCUAAGAAGACCAGGUGCUGUAGGUG